UACGAAGGGGGCUAGCGUUGCUCGGAAUUACUGGGCGUAAAGCGCACGUAGGCGGCUUCUUAAGUCAGAUGUGAAAGCCCCGGGCUUAACCUGGGAACUGCGUUUGAAACUGGGAGACUUGAGUGUGGCAGAGGGGGGUGGAAUUCCACGUGUAGCAGUGAAAUGCGUAGAUAUGUGGAGGAACACCGAUGGCGAAGGCAGCCCCCUGGGUCAACACUGACGCUCAUGCACGAAAGCGUGGGGAGCAAACAGG
This 253-nucleotide ribosomal RNA is filed under the name uncultured bacterium. RNAcentral's name for it is "partial 16S ribosomal RNA". It matches the Rfam family "Bacterial small subunit ribosomal RNA", at positions 524 to 776 of the family's 1533-position model. The record is from RNAcentral.